AUAUAUAUAUAUAUAUAUAUAUAUAUAUGCAGCCUACCUACCUCAGUCCUGCAACAAUUUUCCAGCAUCCAGCUUCAUUCCACUGCCAAAAAAUUUCAGAACUUGAGCACUUCCCAUCUGACAACGAGCUGGAUGCUCCAUCGCAAACCACUCACUCUAAGGCAAAUCUCGAUCAAGCCUCCGGCUCAAAAAACACCUGCUUCUCAGGCCUCCGGCUCAAAGGCACAUCCUUCUAAUGGCUCCAAGGCACUUCCUCCUCGGCCUGGUUCCACCACCGAGCCCCAGGCCUCAGCACCCGGGCGGAGGCCCACAAGGCCAGCUACUCGCACACCUAAGCCACAAAGUCUCCGUUCACCUCCACCAUCGAGACACCAUCACCAUCCAUCCCUCCUAUUGGGAAAUGGACCGUCGCAGGAUUGUCAAACUCUGAAGUUAAGUUUUCUCGAAAAAACUUUCUGUACAUCUCUCUGGAAAAUGUUAAUUCAACCACCUCCAAAAAGGUAAUUAAAGCCUGCAAGACUAAAAGUUACCAUGUCUCUCUAACGUCGUCUUCCAGAUCAAGUUCCGGCUCCCCUCGUGUGUCAAGACGCAGCAGGCCAUCAGCAAGUCUGGGCCAUUCCCCAGACUCGGCCGCUCCUUACAUUGCACUGCCUUCCUCCUCUUCUCAACCAAUCACUGCGGUGCAUUCAGCUACCGCGCCGUAUGCAGCAUCACCCACUGGCAUGGUUUUACAACCUCCUAUCCUUCCCACUCCCUUCUACCUCCGGCUGCAGACGGUAGCGUGAGGCUGCCUCUGCCAGCCACUCAAGCUCAGCUACCCUUACCCUUCUGCUACUCUUUUUCCCUAUCAAUGGCCAGCAGCCCCCACUGCAGUUGUCCAGUUGAGGCUGCAUCUGUAAACGGUUAUGGCCCCUCCUUAUCUUCCCUCUAACCCUGAUAUCCAAUCUAAACCUCAGUACACGUUAUUCGUUGCAGUCCCUCUACCUACCCCACCGAAUGCCCUUGCUCUGGAACCUCCCCCUGUACCUAACAAAUCUUAUCAAAUCUUAGAUCCUCGCAGGUGCGGAUGUUGAUCUCUCAUCUCUCCUCUCUCUGCUAUGUCCCGCCUAUGUCCCGCCACGUUCUGCAACUUCCAAUCCAAUAUCGGAUUCCAGGAGAGAAUCUUUCUCAUUCUCCGGCAAUCAACAGCUGUGCCGUUUAACACUCGUAUCCUGCAGUCUUCAGCCUGCUGUCUCCUCAUGAUGACCUCCAUGUGAAGAACAAACUAUACCCAGAGAAGAACAAUUUUACUUACAAUACUCUAAUUUAAGUGUGGUGUUGCCAGUGUUGUUAAUUUAUUAAUGCUAGUCAGCUGUUAAUAUGAGUUUAAUGUUUUAUUAUUGAGCAAACUCUUGGAGGAACGGUUUAAUAUUCUAAGCAGUAAAGCACAUUUGUGAACUAUUGAAAGUAAUUUUAGUAAUGACUUACAUCCUGCAUAGCCUUUAGCGUUGCUUCCAUAUUGGCCUUGGAGCGCACAUACACACGCAGGCCUGUGGUCACUCUCUUCUUAUCCGCAAAGGAUGUUGAUGGUGAGGAUGGUUUAAAUGAGGGGGAGGCUGGUGAUGAUGACAAGAAUGAUGAUAGUGAUGGUGGUGAAGAUGAUGCUGAGAAUGAUGAAGAGUUUGGUGAUGAUAGUGGUGGUGAAGCUGGUGAUGACAGUGAGGAUGACUGUAAUAAUGGUAUGGUUGGUGAUGAUGGUGAAGAUGAUAAAGAUGGUGAUGAUGUAGCUGGUAAAGUCAAUGAUAGAAAUAGAUGGAGAAAAAGGCGAUGAUGGUGUUGCUGCUGGUGGUGAUGGUUGUGAGGUUAUUAAUGAAGACAAUGGUGGGGAUGGUGAAUUUGGUAAUAAAGAUGGUGAUGACAUUAGUAUUGGUGUUGCUGAAAGUGAGGGUGAUGAUGGUGAGGAUUGUUUUGUUGACAGUAAUGAAGAUGAUGAUGAUGAUAAUGUUGGUGAUGAAGCCUGUUAGUUAGCUGAUGAUGGCAAGUUUGAGGAAGAUGAUGCAGAGGUUAUUGAUAAUGAUGGCUGUGCUGGAGGGUUUGAUGAUGAUAGUGGGACUGAUUAAGAUGGUACUGAAGAUGGUUAAGAUGAUGCAGAUGGUGUAGAUGAUGGUUCUAAAGAUGUCGUUGAUGUUGUUAAUGUUAGUGAUGAAGAUGGUGAUGAAGGCUGUGAGUUUGCUGAUGAUGGUAAGGAUGCAGAAAAUAAUGUAGAGGUUCUUAAAAAUGUGAGAACUGUGCAGGUGGGGUUGGCGAUCAUGAUGAUAGCAGGAUUGAUGAAGAUGGUGAAGAUGAUAAAGUUGGUGUAGAUGAUAAUAUUGAAGAUGUUGUUGAUGAUGAUAACAAUAGUGGGACUGAUGAAGAUGGUGCUGAGAAUGGUGAAGAUGAUGAAGAUAGUGGUGUUGAAAAUGGUGUUGAAGAUGAUGAUGACAAUAAUAAAGGGACUCAUGAGGAUGUUGCUAAAGAUGGUGUAAAUGAAAAUGU
Molecule: long non-coding RNA, 2514 nt
Organism: Cyprinus carpio carpio
Lineage: Eukaryota; Metazoa; Chordata; Actinopteri; Cypriniformes; Cyprinidae
Source: Ensembl